CCGGAGCAMAGAGAGCUUGCUCUCUGGGUGGCAGUGGCGGACGGGUGAGGAAUACAUCGGAAUCUACUUUUUCGUGGGGGAUAACGUAGGGAAACUUACGCUAAUACCGCAUACGACCUACGGGUGAAAGCAGGGGAUCUUCGGACCUUGCGCGAUUGAAUGAGCCGAUGUCGGAUUAGCUAGUUGGCGGGGUAAAGGCCCACCAAGGCGACGAUCCGUAGCUGGUCUGAGAGGAUGAUCAGCCACACUGGAACUGAGACACGGUCCAGACUCCUACGGGAGGCAGCAGUGGGGAAUAUUGGACAAUGGGCGCAAGCCUGAUCCAGCCAUACCGCCGUGGGUGAAGAAGGCCUUCGGGUUGUAAAGCCCUUUUGUUGGRAAGAAAUCCAGCUGGCUAAUACCCGGUUGGGAUGAACGGUACCCAAAGAAUAAGCACCGGCUAACUUCGUGCCAGCAGCCGCGGUAAUACGAAGGGUGCCAAGCGUUACUCGGAAUUACUGGCCGUAAAGCGUGCGUAGGUGGUCGUUUAAGUCCGUUGUGAAAGCCCUGGCCUCAACCUGGGACUGAGUGGAUACUGGCGACUAGAUGUGGU
This 592-nucleotide ribosomal RNA is filed under the name Stenotrophomonas maltophilia. Its description in RNAcentral is "bacterial SSU rRNA". It matches the Rfam family "Bacterial small subunit ribosomal RNA", at positions 62 to 651 of the family's 1533-position model. The record is from RNAcentral. Lineage: Bacteria; Pseudomonadati; Pseudomonadota; Gammaproteobacteria; Lysobacterales; Lysobacteraceae.